ACCCUCCAGCCGCACCCCGCAGCCUCCAUUCUCACGCCUCACCCAGCAGCCUCCAUUCUCACCCCGCAGCCACCAUUCUCACGCCGCAUCCGGCAGCCGCAAUCGCACGCCUGCACCCUCCAUUCUCACCGCCAGGCGCUAUCCUGAAUUUUCUUUCCUUUUUCUGCCAACUUUUUUCCCGUUCCACACCCGCAGCCGCAGCCAUACGGAGCCACCUCGGUAGAGCCAGGGGCCUCUACCAUAUCCCGAUUCGCUGCAUUCUGGUAACCAUUUCUUCUCAAUUUUUGCAAUUUCUUGAUCAUAGGUUGGCAUAUCCAAAUCGUCUUCUUUUCAAAAGAUACCAACAAGUAUGUUUAAUUAGUUUUUCUUUUUGUGGUAAGAGAUGUGUGUUUAAUUGAUACCAGUUCCUCUGAUUUCCGUCUACUUAAUUCCUUUUUUAAUCACUUCUUUUUUUUUCUUUUCUUUUCAAUUAGCUAGCAAAUUUAGUAGUAUAUAUAUAUAUAUAUAUAUAUAAUAUAUAUAUAUACAUAUACUGGGACCAUUAUAUGAAGACGUGGGAGAAAUUGCAGCUCCGAUUGCUAUUCGAUUAUUGGUCUGGACAAAGCCUGAGCAUAGCAAAUUAUAACAACCUAUGGCUUGAUAUGCAUCGCUCUGUACAUCAUUCAUUGAAUUAGCUUGAUGAAUUUGGUCAAGUUAAUUACGAUUAAUCAUAAGUUCCUUAAAGAAGAUGAAUGAAUGGCAAUAAUUAAUGCCACUGCCACUUAGACACUUACUGUCCAAUAUGUAAAAAAUCUUGGAUAGUUGUCCCCAUACAGCUCUGAGCUAACCUGCGGGAAUUAAAUGAAUUUAGGAUCUAUAUAUGGCUCCAUAUACCCAACAAAAAAAAAUCAAUGAAUUAGAAAGGUGGUUGAGUAUGUAAUAAGUGCUUUUGUUAUCAAUUUUGAGCAACCAACCAUUCACGUACACUACCUUCUAUGUAUGCUUUCCAAUCAAAAGAAGUAGACUGACUUCCCAUUUCAAUUUGAAAAAUGAAUUAUGGUAAAUAUUUGUUUCUCUGAAAAUAAAUCAGGCAGAUUAUUUCCUAUGUUUAAAAACCAUGGUACGUAAUUGAUCCCUUGUGAUCAUUAAAUGUCAUCUGAGGUAUUUGCAGGAUAUUUCUAGGCAGUUAGCAAGAUAGAUGCACUUUUGCUUACUAAAUAGCAAUUAAUUUACGUAAUUUGAAGUUAGUAAUUAGCAAAAAUCUGCUUACACAUGUAGGUAGUACAUGCAUAUAUAUUACUUCAAUAGCAGAUUAAGUUGACAAUUGCAUCUUAACGUUAGUUGUUUGCAUUCAAAGUCAAUUCCCACUAUGUUUUUCCUUGGCAAAGCACUUAGGAAAGCUGCCAUCUUUAAAUUGAUUCAUAUAUUCAAAGCCAUCCAUUAAGCCAGGACUUGUUAUGCACCAAAUCAUGAAAAUUUUGAUUUUAAAGAGUUCUCAUCUCUUCAUGUCACAUCAGUAUGUUAUACUUUUGUAUCAAAAGAGAUUCCAACUUUAGCUUCCACUUUCAUUGCCCAUGCUCAUCUUUUGUUUUUCCUGUUUCCUUAGUUUAGUAAUAAACUGCUUUGCUUUUCGAUUUCUGAUGAUCUGGUUGAGUUUCAUUCGAGAUGGUUGGCUACAGUCAGACCACUAGAGCGCAUGUGAAUUGUGUACUAUCUUCAGAUGACACUAUUCGUAUUUAAUUUAUUGGAAAUGCCACUAUACUGUCCUUUCAUCACUGUCUGCAUGCACAAACAAAUUGGAACUAUGGAUUCAGUAUUUCCCCGUAAUUCAUCACUGUCCCUUGUUUGGAUUGCCAUUUUAAGAGUUUUUAAGAGCUUUUCUCUGUUAUUUCAUUCAUCUGAAUGUAAGCUUGAGAAUUGAGAUAGGAGAUAGGAACAAGUUAAAGAAAUGUUAAAAUUGGCUUGAAGUGGGCAUUAUUUCUUGGAAUCUGUUUUAUUACUUUUGUAUCUUAUUUCUUAGAAAUGUUAUUCUAAAUUUCUGUUUUGGCUAAUCAAAAUUUGUAUUGGUUAUUAAAUGUGUUUUGAUUAAGGAAUGUACAGCUCUCCACUCAACUCAUUUCAAGGUUCAUCAUCAAGUCUUGUGAUGGAGCAAAAUAUUGAAGACGUGGAACAAUUGAACUACAAUGAAGAAAGAGCCGAUGAGAUGAGUGAAGAAGAGAUAGAAAUGAUAGAAGAUGAUGGUAAUGAAGGAGGACAGCAAGUAGAUGGAGAUGGAGGAGUUGGUCCUUUGGAAAUGUUGUUAUCUGAUCUGUUUUGGACAUUUUGGUCACUGAUAUGUUGUAAUCUGAUCUGGUUUGGACAUUGUAAUCCGAGUUUGGACAUUUUGUUUCUCCAUUUGAUGGUUAUUGCUGUAGUUUUAACUUCUUUUUAACUCCAUAAUUAUUAGGUUCUGGCU
Molecule: long non-coding RNA, 2434 nt
Filed under: Coffea arabica (coffee)
Lineage: Eukaryota; Viridiplantae; Streptophyta; Magnoliopsida; Gentianales; Rubiaceae
Description: long non-coding RNA (CARA_LNC000618)
Source: RNAcentral